Corapipo altera (White-ruffed manakin) is the source of this 140-nucleotide long non-coding RNA. RefSeq lists it as uncharacterized. The record is from RefSeq and is a predicted model, not a curated record. The transcript has 3 exons. Lineage: Eukaryota; Metazoa; Chordata; Aves; Passeriformes; Pipridae.
GUUUUUGAAGAUGCUUUGGGGAGCAUGUGCACAAGGAUGUAUGGCAAGAGCAAGGCACAGGCUGGAUUGUUUGAGGUUUUUUAAUGCAGUGGGGAAUCUGUCUCUGGGAAGUGAUGGGUGGCAGUUUGGUUCCCAUGGAC